Long non-coding RNA from Pseudophryne corroboree (corroboree frog), 3433 nucleotides. RefSeq lists it as uncharacterized. Lineage: Eukaryota; Metazoa; Chordata; Amphibia; Anura; Myobatrachidae. The record is from RefSeq and is a predicted model, not a curated record. The transcript has 2 exons.
CUUUCCUGGAACAACUAAAAUUUCAGUGAUUCUGACUGGGAGUUUACUAGGGGGUUGUGUCUAUUUCCCCUUCGUGGAAAGGACCUGGAUGUGACAUCUAGUGAGGGCAGAAAUGGUUGUCUGCCCUUACAGCAUGUAUUUGUUUCCUCCAUUUUCUGUUUUUUGUUAUUUUAUGUAUGAUGCAUUGGAUCCUUACGGUAUCUCUCUCCGCUUCGCUCACCAAUGGUUACUAUUCCAAAUAGUUUGUGACGUGGACCCAGUGAAUUAUGGGAAAAGUCUUCUCGACGAAGGGCAACUAGACGCUACCCUUUCCUAGGGGAGGAAGUAGGAGGAAACUGGAAAGAAGCCAUAUGUAUGAGUCUCAGUGUAGCCACGUUACGUAGAAAGCAGUGUGGCACGGACCGAGAUGUCAUCAGUCAGAAUGUCACCAGCUUGUUGCCCUCUCAUAAUUCUUGGCAUUCUUGCGAGUGUCUCCCUUAUUAAAUGUCAGAACUUUCCUACGUUCAUGAAUAAACACAUUCUUGAAGAUCAAGACCGCAUCAAUUGCAACGUAACCAUUAAAGAUCGCAACCUCAAUACGCAAUCUUGCCGAUUUCGUAACACGUUCAUUCAUGACACAGGUGCGAAGAAAGUCAAGCAGAUGUGUUCUCCGUAUGUGACGUCUACAGUGGUUGCGAGUGAUAGUGCACUAAAACUCACUGAUUGUAGCUUGAUAAGAUCUCCAUCAUCAACGGGCUGUUCCUACAGUCAGAAAGGAGUGAAGGGCAUUGUGUAUGUCACAUGUGAGAGACACCUUCCUGUGCACUUCUCUAAAUACGAGAAAAGUUCCUGUGCAUCGUGGUCUCCCUGUGCAUGGAAACUACUUCUGCUUCUUCUCCUUAGAGAAUUUCUAUAAAUCUACUUUAUCAGAUUUUUUUUUUUUUCUUUUCAAGAAGUGGUAUGAUGCUUUGUACAGUAUGAAGGGGGCAAAUCAAUCCAGAGUGGUGUAGUGUAGGCAAUGUGCCCUCAAAGUGACAUUACAUUGCAACGCAAAAUUGCUAAUUUUCCCUUACACUCCCAAAGGGAUUGGCUGUAAAAUUAGCGAUGUUGGACUAGCAUAGGUAUCGGCUAUGUGUGCAGCCACACAUCGUGACCCAACUUGAAUUGCCCCUAAAAGAUAUCUAUCAAGUUUACAAGUCAUUUAGCAGAAGAUGGGGGUGUUCUUAGCUCAAGUGGAAUAUGUGUCAAACAUCAAUAUGGUGCUAUAGUAUAUAAGAUGUCAGAAGUACGUUAAUAACAUGAAAUAUUAAGAGUAAAAUAGUUACAGUUUACCUUAAUGGUACAGUAACACGUUGCUAUAGCAGGUAAAUCAUUCUAUUACACAAUUUGAAGAUUACAGCUUACAUUGGGCGUUUGCUUUUCUUAUAAGCCUUUAUUAGUACCACUUAAUGAUUUUGUUUUUCAUUGAAAAAGAUGUAAAAAUAAUUCACGUCCGCUGCAUUGUUCCUUUUCAUACCUUAACGCUAUGCUUAUUCUUUAUUCAUUAUCCUUAUCUGCUUUUCAGUGAAAGCCUCCUACACCUAGCCUUAAUACGCCAUGUGGUACGAGAGAGCGGUGUAGCAGGGUGACUCUGUUUAAAUUUGCCUCUUAUACGCAGAGCAGAUGCUGCAAAACACAGCUCAGUUUGUAUCAGAGACUCCGGCCUGCGACUUUAACCGCACAGGAAUGUGCCGUAAAUAGCACUAUGUUAAUCCUAUGCUAUUCUUGAAUUCAAUAUAGAAUGUAUACUUUCACUGCCUAUGUCUAUUGAUAUUUAUUAUAUAUAUGUUUAGUUUGGUAUGAAUAUUUGGUUUUCACAUAAACAUACAAUAGUCUAUAUGCAGAACAUAAUUUCUCUGUAUAUCUAUAUAUAUAUAUAUAUAUAUAUAUAUAUAUCAAAGGCAAAUACCACUGACUCAUCACAAAAUCUCCAGAACCAUAAGGACUAGGAACUGGACAUUUGAACAGUAGACUGCUUUUGAGAUAUAGGCACCCACUAAGAAGGGAUUUUUAAAAAUUCAAACACAAAGGGGUUAAAAGGGGUGAGAUGAUUAUUGGGCAUUCUCUCCUCACAGAGGAGAGUUAAGACAGCCCACCCAGCCAGGGCUAUAAAGAACGCAUGGCCAGCAAUAUCAAGUAGUGGUGGGGGGGAGGACACAGUGCUGUGUUCCUGGAAUCCUUGCCAGUGGCUGUUGCGCAGUCCAUUAUUCAAACAACUGCCACCCCUAAACACUGUCAAACUUCGCUGGCUGUGGCUUCCCUAUUUGGGAAGCCCUGCCUUAUGGUUCAGGAGAUUUUGUGAUGAAUCAGUGGUAUUUGCUAUAUAUAUAUAUAUAUAUAUAUUUCAGAUAUAGGUAUUUAACCAACCUAUUUCCAGUCAGGAGAGAAUAGUGUCUCAAUUAUCAGAGGUUAACCUGUCACUUGAACUUAACAUUGGCCAACCUCUCAGAGAGCAAAAGGAGGCAUAGAUAUUUUGGCUCUUAAAUGCAUUAAAGGGAAGCUUGACAGUCGGCAACUGAUUAUCUGCUGUGUAAAGAGUACUGACAGCUCUCCCAGUGACCAUUUUUACCUCAGAGGAGGAGCCCUAAUGAGAGCGAGAAGCUAGGCAAGUAGUACUAGGGCCCUUUAUAUAGAGUCAGCCUAUCCCCGCAAACCUUACAUAUUUAACAUUCUGCGGGUGGAGUUUGGCCUGUCUUCCCAGCAUUUACAGCACUGAGCAGGACAGCAUCAGAAGCGGGACAGGGCAGAGAAGGAGGUGGAUUAUUCUCCUCAGCACCAGCCUUUUGACAGCAUCAAAAAUCCGAGAAUCCCUCUGAUCCCAUCAGACUACCACUUCCAGUUCAAACGGCUGCAGUUCCCGGUAAAGAUCUGCUAUGCCAUGACCAUUAGCAAAGCUCAGGGACAGAGUUUGAAAGUGACUGGUGUAGAGUGACUGCUUCUCCCAUGGCCAUUUGUAUGGGGAUGCGGUUACAUUGCCGGCAUUCAGAGUCCCGUCAGUCAGGAGAUUGACGCCAGAAUCCCAACCACUGACAAUGCCGCCAGCCGGAUUCCCGGCUAAUAAAGCCGAUUCCCGCUUGUGGGUGUCCAUGACACAAAGUGGGAAUAGAACUCGUGGCAAGCUUGCAACCGCCCCCUUCCCUCCCUGGCGGCCGGAUCCCAUACCCAAUGCUUUAUAUGUUGCCUGUUCCAGAGUCAGCUCCUCUGACAGCCUGGCCAUUCUCCAGCCUGAAAGAAAAGACUAAAAAUGUAGUUUACAAGGAAGUCCUUCAAAAUUAAAGUGCCAUGCCAAUAUAAUAAUAAUCUAUUAAUUGCAUUUGAGUAAUUUGUUGAUUUUAUUCAUAUAUACCACAAAUGUUAUAUAUGUAGUUUUGUAUGUAAAAUGUUUAAAAGCAGUAUUAAAUUUGCUUAAAUACCA